GAACGCUGGCGGCAGGCUUAACACAUGCAAGUCGAGCGGAGAUGAGGUGCUUGCACCUUAUCUUAGCGGCGGACGGGUGAGUAAUGCUUAGGAAUCUGCCAUUUAGUGGGGGACAACAUUCCGAAAGGAAUGCUAAUACCGCAUACGUCCUACGGGAGAAAGCAGGGGAUCUUCGGACCUUGCGCUAAAUGAUGAGCCUAAGUCGGAUUAGCUAGUUGGUGGGGUAAAGGCCUACCAAGGCGACGAUCUGUAGCGGGUCUGAGAGGAUGAUCCGCCACACUGGGACUGAGACACGGCCCAGACUCCUACGGGAGGCAGCAGUGGGGAAUAUUGGACAAUGGGCGGAAGCCUGAUCCAGCCAUGCCGCGUGUGUGAAGAAGGCCUUUUGGUUGUAAAGCACUUUAAGCGAGGAGGAGGCUACCUGGAUUAAUACUCUGGGAU
RNAcentral lists this ribosomal RNA (441 nucleotides) under uncultured bacterium. RNAcentral describes it as "bacterial SSU rRNA". It matches the Rfam family "Bacterial small subunit ribosomal RNA", at positions 31 to 469 of the family's 1533-position model. The record is from RNAcentral.